AUGUCUCAUCACACGAAGCCCACUUGAAUUAGAGACAUAAUUCACGUUCUUCUUCGUUCCUUAGCCUGGCUUCUUAUUUCCGAAGAUAAAACACUAAACUUGGGAUCUGAAGACCUGGGACCUUUUGCUAAUGCAGCCAGGAUGAGAGCAGCCCUGGACAAGCCACCUGUCCCUCGAUGCCCCCGUUUCCCUGGCUGCGAAAGGGGAAGAAUUACCGUACUGUCUCCCUCUGGGCGAGUUCUCCUGGCUAAGUGAAUGGUGUCUCUGAAAAUGAGCUUUGGAGAGAGAGGCAGUAUUUAGAUGCUUGUUUUGUCUGCUAAUGACUUGAGAAGCUUUUGGGGGAGCCGUUUACUGCCAUCGGAGCCAAACCCAGUUCCUUGCCCUAGUUUCGCAUGUGUAGAAUAAAUGGCCCUUCAAUUCCUUGGGUUCAGUCGGAACACGUCCUGAGCUGUGCUGGGACGCUGACGUGGCUGGGCCGGGCCAGGCAGCCUUUGUAUUCGCUGUGAAGCUGCUCGGCAUUGCCGGCGCCAGUGAAACAAAGACCGAGCCCAUUGCAGUGUCAGGGAUGGGGUGUGAGUCAUGACCCACUGCAGGACUGUCAGAGGAAGUGCCCAACUGCAUUUUCAUUGUGUUUCAUGGGUUCUUUCUGAUGGAAAUAUUGCCAGUGAAGACAGUUCCCUGUCAGAUGCGCUUGUUCUGGAAGAUGGUAGGUUGUCUGUUUCCCGCGUGAGAGCUUGGAGCCCUGAUUAAACGGGGAUUAAGCUGUGUGUAGCCUGGGACAGCCCAGUGUAAAGCGGGAGCCAGACCAAGAGGGUGCCAGGUUCCCUGCGAUUCUUUCACUUCCCCGCAGUCACCUGUGUGGCUGAGGGUGGGUAGGUGCUACAGAAAGACGUAUCUAUUGGAGUUUUAUUAUGUCCUGUGGCCCCGAGGUAAGCUAAGGUGAUAGCUGCUGAGUGGUGGUCUGCUUUUUUAGGUGCCCCCAAUCCCAUUUUUACCUAAACAGAUAAUUUAAACACCAAGCAUAGUUUCCUUUUGCGUAUUUAUAAAUUUCUGGAGGAAAGAGGUGGACAUUGGUUUGGAUCACAAAGAUUGAAACCGUCUAGGGGACCCUGAGGGCGGCUGGAAGAAAACAAGCCUCUUUUCUUCCUGAGAAAUAGUGAAAGUGAAGGAAAGCUGUCUCUAGAGACUCCUGGUCAGGCCUAGAAAACGGUCUCCGUUCCCGUUGACCUCAAAA
Molecule: long non-coding RNA, 1234 nt
Filed under: Sus scrofa (pig)
Lineage: Eukaryota; Metazoa; Chordata; Mammalia; Artiodactyla; Suidae
Description: lncRNA (ENSSSCG00060038856.1)
Source: RNAcentral